UGCNNGUCGAACGAAGUAGCAAUACUUAGUGGCAGACGGGUGAGUAACAUGUGGGUAUCUUCCCUUUGGUGAGGAAUAACACGAGGAAACUUGUGCUAAUACCUCAUAAGUCUUUACGGAGAAAGCUUUAUGCGCCAAUGGAUGAGCCCGCACUUGAUUAGUUUGUUGGUGAGGUAAUGGCUCACCAAGACUUUGAUCAAUAGCUGAUUUGAGAGGAUGAUCAGCCACAUUGGGACUGAGACACGGCCCAAACUCCUACGGGAGGCAGCAGUAGGGAAUCUUGCACAAUGGGGGAAACCCUGAUGCAGCGAUGCCGCGUGAGUGAAGAAGGCCUUUGGGUUGUAAAGCUCUUUCGUCGGGGAAGAAAAUGACUGUACCCGAAUAAGAAGGUCCGGCUAACUUCGUGCCAGCAGCCGCGGUAAUACGAAGGGACCUAGCGUAGUUCGGAAUUACUGGGCUUAAAGAGUUCGUAGGUUGUUAAAAAAGUUGGUGGUGAAAUCCCAGAGCUUAACUCUGGAACUGCCAUCAAAACUUUUUAGCUAGAGUUUGAUAGAGGAAAGCAGAACUUCUAGUGUAGAGGUGAAAUUCGUAGAUAUUAGAAAGAAUACCAAUUGCGAAGGCAGCUUUCUGGAUCAUUACUGACACUGANGAACGAAAGCAUGGGUAGCGAAGANGAUUAGAUACCCUCGUAGUCCAUGCCGUAAACGAUGUGUGUUAGACGUUGGAAAUUUAUUUUCAGUGUCGCAGCGAAANCAAUAAACACACCGCCNGGGNNNUACGANCGCANGGUUAAAACUCAAAUGAAUUGACGGGGNCCCGCACAAGUAGUNNNCAUGUGGUUUAAUUCGAANAUACGCGCA
RNAcentral lists this ribosomal RNA (860 nucleotides) under uncultured bacterium. Its description in RNAcentral is "bacterial SSU rRNA". It matches the Rfam family "Bacterial small subunit ribosomal RNA", at positions 56 to 965 of the family's 1533-position model. The record is from RNAcentral.